GGCUGAAUAAGCUAAAAAAGCUAUUGGGUUCAUACCCCAAAGAUGAGUAUACACUCUUCAUCCA
Molecule: transfer RNA, 64 nt
Filed under: Phascolosoma pacificum
Lineage: Eukaryota; Metazoa; Annelida; Sipuncula; Phascolosomatiformes; Phascolosomatidae
Description: tRNA-Met
Source: RNAcentral